GUGGGAAUAGCUCAGUGGUAGAGCACAUGCUUAGCAUACAUGAGGUCCUGGGUUCAAUCCCCAGUACCUUCA
RNAcentral lists this transfer RNA (72 nucleotides) under Camelus bactrianus (Bactrian camel). It matches the Rfam family "tRNA". Rfam says of the family: Transfer RNA (tRNA) molecules are approximately 80 nucleotides in length. Their secondary structure includes four short double-helical elements and three loops (D, anti-codon, and T loops). Lineage: Eukaryota; Metazoa; Chordata; Mammalia; Artiodactyla; Camelidae. RNAcentral also lists the same sequence under 2 other names. The record is from Rfam by way of RNAcentral.